This 1018-nucleotide ribosomal RNA is filed under the name Staphylococcus aureus. RNAcentral's name for it is "bacterial SSU rRNA". It matches the Rfam family "Bacterial small subunit ribosomal RNA", at positions 1 to 1000 of the family's 1533-position model. The record is from RNAcentral. Lineage: Bacteria; Bacillati; Bacillota; Bacilli; Caryophanales; Staphylococcaceae. RNAcentral also lists the same sequence under 1 other name.
UUUAUGGAGAGUUUGAUCCUGGCUCAGGAUGAACGCUGGCGGCGUGCCUAAUACAUGCAAGUCGAGCGAACGGACGAGAAGCUUGCUUCUCUGAUGUUAGCGGCGGACGGGUGAGUAACACGUGGAUAACCUACCUAUAAGACUGGGAUAACUUCGGGAAACCGGAGCUAAUACCGGAUAAUAUUUUGAACCGCAUGGUUCAAAAGUGAAAGACGGUCUUGCUGUCACUUAUAGAUGGAUCCGCGCUGCAUUAGCUAGUUGGUAAGGUAACGGCUUACCAAGGCAACGAUGCAUAGCCGACCUGAGAGGGUGAUCGGCCACACUGGAACUGAGACACGGUCCAGACUCCUACGGGAGGCAGCAGUAGGGAAUCUUCCGCAAUGGGCGAAAGCCUGACGGAGCAACGCCGCGUGAGUGAUGAAGGUCUUCGGAUCGUAAAACUCUGUUAUUAGGGAAGAACAUAUGUGUAAGUAACUGUGCACAUCUUGACGGUACCUAAUCAGAAAGCCACGGCUAACUACGUGCCAGCAGCCGCGGUAAUACGUAGGUGGCAAGCGUUAUCCGGAAUUAUUGGGCGUAAAGCGCGCGUAGGCGGUUUUUUAAGUCUGAUGUGAAAGCCCACGGCUCAACCGUGGAGGGUCAUUGGAAACUGGAAAACUUGAGUGCAGAAGAGGAAAGUGGAAUUCCAUGUGUAGCGGUGAAAUGCGCAGAGAUAUGGAGGAACACCAGUGGCGAAGGCGACUUUCUGGUCUGUAACUGACGCUGAUGUGCGAAAGCGUGGGGAUCAAACAGGAUUAGAUACCCUGGUAGUCCACGCCGUAAACGAUGAGUGCUAAGUGUUAGGGGGUUUCCGCCCCUUAGUGCUGCAGCUAACGCAUUAAGCACUCCGCCUGGGGAGUACGACCGCAAGGUUGAAACUCAAAGGAAUUGACGGGGACCCGCACAAGCGGUGGAGCAUGUGGUUUAAUUCGAAGCAACGCGAAGAACCUUACCAAAUCUUGACAUCCUUUGACAACUC